This 321-nucleotide long non-coding RNA is filed under the name Mytilus galloprovincialis (Mediterranean mussel). Lineage: Eukaryota; Metazoa; Mollusca; Bivalvia; Mytilida; Mytilidae. The record is from RNAcentral.
CCUGGUACGAUUUAUUGAAUCUCGUUUGAUCCUGUGUCUGAGAAUCUUGUACUGAUUGAACAAAUGUCUCUGUUUGUUUCUUAAUAUUGUUCAUUUCAUCCAACUUAGAGGUAAUUGACUUAUCCCAAGUGUCCAUCUUUAGUUCCAGCCGCACAAGUUUUUCGAGUACUUUUUCUUCAAAAUGAAACUUUGAACAGGAAAGUGAAGAUUCAAAUUCUGACCCAAUCGAACUUGAUGAAGCCCGAACAAACAAUAAGCUAACCAAAAUAAUUAGGUUUCGAACGAUAUCCAUAUUUCCUACACUUCUCUUUGUUUUCUAUU